CAGGCAUCCACGCUGAAGUCGCCAGGGCUCUGGGCAGGCAUCAGAGCCCACCAUCACUGUGACCAUCAAUAAACCUUCAUGAUUUAACCUGUGGAGAGGAGGGACGGGAGAAUCUUACAUUGCAGCUGUAAGAUUAAAUGCUGCUGUUGAACCCUGGACAAUUUCCUGCCACUAAUCUUUUGGUCUGACUAAUAUAGCUAGAUAUAUUACUCAGACCUUUCAGUGAUGGAAAUCAUACCUGGAUCUGAGCAGAUCUAUGUCAUCCAUGGAUAUGUGGCUGGGAAGCACGCAGCUGGCCUGCAGUGGCUAAACCUUUUAAUUCUACCUGGGGGAAUCUGAUUGAGGAAGGGAAAGACGUAAGUCAUCCACGACUGCUUCAGGGUGGCAGCUCCACUGGAGGGCUAUCUCACAAGGCGACCAGCUCUGAAGAUGGGGGGAGUGCUGAGCCAGGAGGAGGGUGCAGAGGAGGACGUGGUGGUUAAAGCACAAAUGUUUCACUCAUACCUUAACUGGCACUAUGUCCCAAAACAGGAGGGCUGCAUUUUCCCAGCACAGCGAUGACUUGACCCCGGGGAUGCUCUUGGUGGCAGGGCACCAUAGCUCGCACUGCACCCGGCGCUGAGCAGCCCGCAGAGCUGCCUCCACCACACCGCUGCUGCCAGGCUCUUCUGGGGAGCGCUGCGAAGACAAAGCUGGAGAGCACUCUGUCCUUGCUUAUGGGCUGCAAACUGUACCAUUAGGAACCAAGUACUAUGUCCUCAGUAACUGCCCACUGAGAUGUGCACGAAGUGGAACUGCCAUCUACUAGGACCAUGUCUUGGAUUUUGCAGCCAGCAAGUAUUCAUCUGCGGGGCACAAGCCAUAGAUUAUCUCUUGCAAAAUGUGCCCAGGCUGCUUUGCCAAGCUACCCUUUCCUGUGCCUUAGAGGUGAAGAAAAGAAAGGGAAUGAGUAUCCCAGUGCUGGAAGGCUGUGUUUUCCUGGGGCAAAACUAAGGUCCUCCUCUGGGGCAGGACAUGCGUGCUGCCAGAGAGACCACUGAUGCAGUCAGCAGCCAGGCCUACGGAGAGCUGGUCACUUCAACCAUCACCACGAGGUCCCAGGGGACCACUGGGAACAUGGGCUGUCCUUUUCCUGGCCACCCCAGAGAAGAUGAGGACUGGGACGUGUGCUGUGAUGCU
Oxyura jamaicensis (ruddy duck) is the source of this 1179-nucleotide long non-coding RNA. RefSeq lists it as uncharacterized. The record is from RefSeq and is a predicted model, not a curated record. Lineage: Eukaryota; Metazoa; Chordata; Aves; Anseriformes; Anatidae. The transcript has 9 exons.